UACGUAGGGUGCGAGCGUUAAUCGGAAUUACUGGGCGUAAAGCGUGCGCAGGCGGUUCGCCAAGUCAGGUGUGAAAUCCCCGGGCUUAACCUGGGAAUUGCGCUUGAAACUAGCGGGCUUGAGUGUGGCAGAGGGGGGUGGAAUUCCACGUGUAGCAGUGAAAUGCGUAGAGAUGUGGAGGAACACCGAUGGCGAAGGCAGCCCCCUGGGUCAAAACUGACGCUCAUGCACGAAAGCGUGGGGAGCAAACAGG
RNAcentral lists this ribosomal RNA (253 nucleotides) under uncultured bacterium. Its description in RNAcentral is "partial 16S ribosomal RNA". It matches the Rfam family "Bacterial small subunit ribosomal RNA", at positions 524 to 776 of the family's 1533-position model. The record is from RNAcentral.